Lolium rigidum is the source of this 477-nucleotide long non-coding RNA. RefSeq lists it as uncharacterized. NCBI's taxonomy places the organism in Eukaryota, Viridiplantae, Streptophyta, Magnoliopsida, Poales, Poaceae. The transcript is spliced from 3 exons. The record is from RefSeq and is a predicted model, not a curated record.
GCGGAAGAAUUGCUACCUUCACUAUGGGAAAAAUGCAAGAAGGAGUUUCUCGAUAAAUAUGCAACCUUCCUCAAACUGAUUGCCAAAAUAUAUCCCAAUGAAACCGUGACAUCCGUCAACGAUAUGAGAGAUACCCUAGCAGCUCUAUAGCAACAUUGCUGUUUGAUUAACUUUACAAGAGAGGACUGAGCCAAUCUGGGUAUGAGCCUGAGCGAGUGAGGUGGUUGACGGCAUGCUUCACCGACAGCUCGUGAUCAUGUAGAAGUAUAUCUAAAUUAGCAGCAAGAACCCAACGUUGUUUUUUUUUCCUAAUUGCCAAAAAAGGAGGGCAGUGUUCCAUCUACUUUUGCAUGUAUGUAAGAAUAAAAGUAACACUGUAGAUUUAGUCAGACUUAAUCCUGCAUGUAUUCUGCGUUUGCAUGUGAAACAUAGCACCCGCGUAUGUUGGCAAGUGAGCUUGCUAAAGUAUUUUCACAA